Molecule: ribosomal RNA, 497 nt
Filed under: uncultured bacterium
Lineage: Bacteria
Description: partial 16S ribosomal RNA
Rfam family: Bacterial small subunit ribosomal RNA
Source: RNAcentral
GAUGAACGCUGGCGGCGUGCCUAAUACAUGCAAGUCGAGCGAACAGACGAGGAGCUUGCUCCUCUGACGUUAGCGGCGGACGGGUGAGUAACACGUGGAUAACCUACCUAUAAGACUGGGAUAACUUCGGGAAACCGGAGCUAAUACCGGAUAAUAUAUUGAACCGCAUGGUUCAAUAGUGGAAGACGGUUUUGCUGUCACUUAUAGAUGGAUCCGCGCCGCAUUAGCUAGUUGGUAAGGUAACGGCUUACCAAGGCAACGAUGCGUAGCCGACCUGAGAGGGUGAUCGGCCACACUGGAACUGAGACACGGUCCAGACUCCUACGGGAGGCAGCAGUAGGGAAUCUUCCGCAAUGGGCGAAAGCCUGACGGAGCAACGCCGCGUGAGUGAUGAAGUUCUUCGGAUCGUAAAACUCUGUUAUUAGGGAAGAACAAAUGUGUAAGUAACUAUGCACGUCUUGACGGUACCUAAUCAGAAAGCCACGGCUAACUACGUG